This is a long non-coding RNA of Hibiscus syriacus, 439 nucleotides long. RefSeq lists it as uncharacterized. The transcript has 2 exons. The record is from RefSeq and is a predicted model, not a curated record. NCBI's taxonomy places the organism in Eukaryota, Viridiplantae, Streptophyta, Magnoliopsida, Malvales, Malvaceae.
UAUUUUCUCUUACGGGACUGUCGAGGUCUGGAAGCCAGCCGCAAGGAAUGCAAAUACGAUGAGCAGGCAUCGCCGUCUUCGGUGAUAGAUGGCCAAACAGUGAGUUCAGAAGCCUGGGGGUCGCUUUACUCCAUACAUCGGCGGUGAGCCUAAGCGUGUUUGGUUCGGAAACGGCUUUUCAGGUGGUGGAAUAUGUCGAGCUGGAGGAACAGAGGUGGUGGAUUAUGUCGAGCUGGAGGAACAGGGAAGUAUUGCCGAUGAAUGGCUCUGGGGCAUUUGUAGUGGAGAUAUUACUAUAAUCAAGAGUCGACGAGAACAGUUUUUGAUAUGCUUGUCCAAUAUGUGUUUUUUUUUUGUUAACAUAAGAUUUGCUUCUGUAAGAAGAAUUAGAAUGGGCAAUACAUUUGUUUCAGCGAUCCUCUCAUUUAAUUUGCCUCCA